GGGAAUUUUCCGCAAUGGGCGAAAGCCUGACGAAGCAAUGCCGCGUGGAGGUGGAAGGCCUACGGGUCGUCAACUUCUUUUCUCGGAGAAGAAACAAUGACGGUAUCUGAGGAAUAAGCAUCGGCUAACUCUGUGCCAG
Molecule: ribosomal RNA, 139 nt
Filed under: uncultured bacterium
Lineage: Bacteria
Description: partial 16S rRNA
Rfam family: Bacterial small subunit ribosomal RNA
Source: RNAcentral